UUUUUGGACUGCAACUCCCAUCAGACCCUGCCAGCACAACUGUGCUGGCUGGGCCUGAUGGGAGCUGUAGUCCAAAGC
Molecule: non-coding RNA, 78 nt
Organism: Podarcis lilfordi (Lilford's wall lizard)
Lineage: Eukaryota; Metazoa; Chordata; Lepidosauria; Squamata; Lacertidae
Source: the annotation of a GenBank genome assembly